AACGAACGCUGGCGGCAUGCCUAACGCAUGCAAGUCGAACGAGACCUUCGGGUCUAGUGGCGCACGGGUGCGUAACGCGUGGGAACCUGCCCUUAGGUUCGGAAUAACUCCCCGAAAGGGGUGCUAAUACCGGAUAAUGUCUUCGGACCAAAGAUUUAUCGCCUUUGGAUGGGCCCGCGUUGGAUUAGCUAGUUGGUAGGGUAAAAGCCUACCAAGGCGACGAUCCAUAGCUGGUCUGAGAGGAUGAUCAGCCACACUGGGACUGAGACACGGCCCAGACUCCUACGGGAGGCAGCAGUGGGGAAUAUUGGACAAUGGGCGAAAGCCUGAUCCAGCAAUGCCGCGUGAGUGAUGAAGGCCUUAGGGUUGUAAAACUCUUUUACCCGGGAUGAUAAUGACAGUACCGGGAGAAUAAGCUCCGGCUAACUCCGUG
RNAcentral lists this ribosomal RNA (433 nucleotides) under uncultured bacterium. RNAcentral's name for it is "partial 16S ribosomal RNA". It matches the Rfam family "Bacterial small subunit ribosomal RNA", at positions 29 to 507 of the family's 1533-position model. The record is from RNAcentral.